This 507-nucleotide ribosomal RNA is filed under the name uncultured bacterium. RNAcentral describes it as "partial 16S ribosomal RNA". It matches the Rfam family "Bacterial small subunit ribosomal RNA", at positions 28 to 507 of the family's 1533-position model. The record is from RNAcentral.
GACGAACGCUGGCGGCGUGCCUAAUACAUGCAAGUCGAACGCAUUUUCUUUCACCGUAGCUUGCUACACCGAAAGAAAAUGAGUGACGAACGGGUGAGUAACACGUGGGUAACCUGCCCAUCAGCGGGGGAUAACACUUGGAAACAGGUGCUAAUACCGCAUAAUUCCAUUUACCGCAUGGUAGAUGGGUGAAAGGCGCUUUUGCGUCACUGUUGGAUGGACCCGCGGUGCAUUAGCUAGUUGGUGGGGUAACGGCCUACCAAGGCUGCGAUGCAUAGCCGACCUGAGAGGGUGAUCGGCCACACUGGGACUGAGACACGGCCCAGACUCCUACGGGAGGCAGCAGUAGGGAAUCUUCGGCAAUGGACGCAAGUCUGACCGAGCAACACCGCGUGAGUGAAGAAGGUUUUCGGAUCGUAAAACUCUGUUGUUAGAGAAGAACAAGGAUGAGAGUGGAAAGUUCAUCCCUUGACGGUAUCUAACCAGAAAGCCACGGCUAACUACGUG